Molecule: ribosomal RNA, 1281 nt
Filed under: Lacticaseibacillus paracasei
Lineage: Bacteria; Bacillati; Bacillota; Bacilli; Lactobacillales; Lactobacillaceae
Also listed under: 1 other name
Description: bacterial SSU rRNA
Rfam family: Bacterial small subunit ribosomal RNA
Source: RNAcentral
GGCUCACCAAGGCGAUGAUACGUAGCCGAACUGAGAGGUUGAUCGGCCACAUUGGGACUGAGACACGGCCCAAACUCCUACGGGAGGCAGCAGUAGGGAAUCUUCCACAAUGGACGCAAGUCUGAUGGAGCAACGCCGCGUGAGUGAAGAAGGCUUUCGGGUCGUAAAACUCUGUUGUUGGAGAAGAAUGGUCGGCAGAGUAACUGUUGUCGGCGUGACGGUAUCCAACCAGAAAGCCACGGCUAACUACGUGCCAGCAGCCGCGGUAAUACGUAGGUGGCAAGCGUUAUCCGGAUUUAUUGGGCGUAAAGCGAGCGCAGGCGGUUUUUUAAGUCUGAUGUGAAAGCCCUCGGCUUAACCGAGGAAGCGCAUCGGAAACUGGGAAACUUGAGUGCAGAAGAGGACAGUGGAACUCCAUGUGUAGCGGUGAAAUGCGUAGAUAUAUGGAAGAACACCAGUGGCGAAGGCGGCUGUCUGGUCUGUAACUGACGCUGAGGCUCGAAAGCAUGGGUAGCGAACAGGAUUAGAUACCCUGGUAGUCCAUGCCGUAAACGAUGAAUGCUAGGUGUUGGAGGGUUUCCGCCCUUCAGUGCCGCAGCUAACGCAUUAAGCAUUCCGCCUGGGGAGUACGACCGCAAGGUUGAAACUCAAAGGAAUUGACGGGGGCCCGCACAAGCGGUGGAGCAUGUGGUUUAAUUCGAAGCAACGCGAAGAACCUUACCAGGUCUUGACAUCUUUUGAUCACCUGAGAGAUCAGGUUUCCCCUUCGGGGGCAAAAUGACAGGUGGUGCAUGGUUGUCGUCAGCUCGUGUCGUGAGAUGUUGGGUUAAGUCCCGCAACGAGCGCAACCCUUAUGACUAGUUGCCAGCAUUUAGUUGGGCACUCUAGUAAGACUGCCGGUGACAAACCGGAGGAAGGUGGGGAUGACGUCAAAUCAUCAUGCCCCUUAUGACCUGGGCUACACACGUGCUACAAUGGAUGGUACAACGAGUUGCGAGACCGCGAGGUCAAGCUAAUCUCUUAAAGCCAUUCUCAGUUCGGACUGUAGGCUGCAACUCGCCUACACGAAGUCGGAAUCGCUAGUAAUCGCGGAUCAGCACGCCGCGGUGAAUACGUUCCCGGGCCUUGUACACACCGCCCGUCACACCAUGAGAGUUUGUAACACCCGAAGCCGGUGGCGUAACCCUUUUAGGGAGCGAGCCGUCUAAGGUGGGACAAAUGAUUAGGGUGAAGUCGUAACAAGGUAGCCGUAGGAGAACCUGCGGCUGGAUCACCUCCUUU